GACGAACGCUGGCGGCGUGCUUAACACAUGCAAGUCGAACGGUAAGGCUCCAGCUUGCUGGGGUACACGAGUGGCGAACGGGUGGGUAACACGUGGGUGACCUGCCCUGCACUUCGGGAUAAGCCUGGGAAACUGGGUCUAAUACCGGAUAGGACCAUGGUGUGGAUACUGUGGUGGAAAGUUUUUUCGGUGUGGGAUGGGCCCGCGGCCUAUCAGCUUGUUGGUGGGGUAAUGGCCUACCAAGGCGGCGACGGGUAGCCGGCCUGAGAGGGUGGACGGCCACAUUGGGACUGAGACACGGCCCAGACUCCUACGGGGGGCAGCAGUGGGGAAUAUUGCACAAUGGGCGGAAGCCUGAUGCAGCGACGCCGCGUGGGGGAUGACGGCCUUCGGGUUGUAAACUCCUUUCACCAUCGACGAAGGGUUUCUGACGGUAGAUGGAGAAGAAGCACCGGCUAACUACGUG
RNAcentral lists this ribosomal RNA (466 nucleotides) under uncultured bacterium. RNAcentral describes it as "partial 16S ribosomal RNA". It matches the Rfam family "Bacterial small subunit ribosomal RNA", at positions 28 to 507 of the family's 1533-position model. The record is from RNAcentral.